RNAcentral lists this ribosomal RNA (260 nucleotides) under uncultured bacterium. RNAcentral's name for it is "partial 16S ribosomal RNA". It matches the Rfam family "Bacterial small subunit ribosomal RNA", at positions 95 to 353 of the family's 1533-position model. The record is from RNAcentral.
CCGGCGCACGGGUGAGUAACACGUAUCCAACCUGCCGUCUACUCUUGGACAGCCUUCUGAAAGGAAGAUUAAUACAAGAUGGCAUCAUGAGUCCGCAUGUUCACAUGAUUAAAGGUAUUCCGGUAGACGAUGGGGAUGCGUUCCAUUAGAUAGUAGGCGGGGUAACGGCCCACCUAGUCUUCGAUGGAUAGGGGUUCUGAGAGGAAGGUCCCCCACAUUGGAACUGAGACACGGCCCAGACUCCUACGGGAGGCAGCAUG